UCGGGAAUUUUGGGCAGUGGGCGAAAGCCUGACCCAGCAACGCCGCGUGAGGGAUGAAGUAUUUCGGUAUGUAAACCUCGAAAGAAUGGGAAGAAUAAAUGACGGUACCAUUUAUAAGCACCGGCUAACUCCGUGCCAGCAGCCGCGGUAAUACGGAGGGUGCGAGCGUUAUCCGGAUUUACUGGGUUUAAAGGGUGCGUAGGUGGGCUUAUAAGUCAGUGGUGAAAUCUCCGAGCUUAACUUGGAAACUGCCGUUGAUACUAUAGGUCUUGAAUUAUCUGGAGGUAAGCGGAAUAUGUCAUGUAGCGGUGAAAUGCUUAGAUAUGACAUAGAACACCAAUUGCGAAGGCAGCUUACUACAUAUAAAUUGACGCUGAGGCACGAAAGCGUGGGGAUCAAACA
RNAcentral lists this ribosomal RNA (402 nucleotides) under uncultured bacterium. RNAcentral describes it as "bacterial SSU rRNA". It matches the Rfam family "Bacterial small subunit ribosomal RNA", at positions 355 to 774 of the family's 1533-position model. The record is from RNAcentral.